GGCUGUAGCUCAGUGGUAGAGUGCCCGCCUUGCACACGUGAGGCACUGGGUUCGUUCCUCAGCACCA
This 67-nucleotide transfer RNA is filed under the name Marmota monax (woodchuck). Its description in RNAcentral is "tRNA.Ala". It matches the Rfam family "tRNA", at positions 6 to 65 of the family's 71-position model. Rfam says of the family: Transfer RNA (tRNA) molecules are approximately 80 nucleotides in length. Their secondary structure includes four short double-helical elements and three loops (D, anti-codon, and T loops). Further hydrogen bonds mediate the characteristic L-shaped molecular structure. tRNAs have two regions of fundamental functional importance: the anti-codon, which is responsible for specific mRNA codon recognition, and the 3' end, to which the tRNAs corresponding amino acid is attached (by aminoacyl-tRNA synthetases). tRNAs cope with the degeneracy of the genetic code in two manners: having more than one tRNA (with a specific anti-codon) for a particular amino acid; and 'wobble' base-pairing, i.e. permitting non-standard base-pairing at the 3rd anti-codon position. Lineage: Eukaryota; Metazoa; Chordata; Mammalia; Rodentia; Sciuridae. The record is from RNAcentral.